This 30-nucleotide non-coding RNA is filed under the name Mus musculus (house mouse). The record is from RNAcentral. Lineage: Eukaryota; Metazoa; Chordata; Mammalia; Rodentia; Muridae.
UGUCUGACUUACUGCUUCAACAAACCAGAA